GAAAAAGAGGAACAGGUGGCUGAAUUUCAGAAGCAAAAAGAGGUGCUACUGUCCUUAUUUGAUGAAAAACGUCAUGAACAUCUCCUUAGUAAAGGUGAAAGACGGCUGUCAUACAGAGCACUUCAGGGAGCAUUGAUGAUAUAUUUUUACAGGGAAGAGCCUAGGUUCCAGGUGCCUUUUCAGUUGCUGACUUCUCUUAUGGACAUAGAUUCACUGAUGACCAAAUGGAGAUAUAACCAUGUGUGCAUGGUGCACAGAAUGCUGGGCAGCAAAGCUGGCACCGGUGGUUCCUCAGGCUAUCACUACCUGCGAUCAACCGUGAGAUAAAUGGACAAAUGGAUACAUCAGGAAACUGAAAAACUUCUGUGGUCCCUUGAAA
This 379-nucleotide small RNA is filed under the name Pan troglodytes (chimpanzee). Its description in RNAcentral is "processed transcript". The record is from RNAcentral. Lineage: Eukaryota; Metazoa; Chordata; Mammalia; Primates; Hominidae.